Molecule: long non-coding RNA, 336 nt
Organism: Ornithodoros turicata
Lineage: Eukaryota; Metazoa; Arthropoda; Arachnida; Ixodida; Argasidae
Exons: 4
Source: RefSeq, a predicted model, not a curated record
CGGUCGAAAGGUUCGGACGUGUCAGCGUGGUCUCGCCGUGGAUUAUGAAAGUUCUUUUGCAACUGUCAAGGGGAACUUGUGCGCGGUCCUCGGUAGUACAGUCGGCAACGUGUUGGCUUCCUUCCCUAGCGCAAGAUCGCUGGUUCGAUACCCGUCGAGGGGGAGGGCGUCCAUCUGGGUUCUUUCCGUGUUCGCCGCUUCUGUGAUCUUGGAAGAUAGGGCAUUUCACACGUGUAGCUGCAGCGCUUCAGUGCGCUUUAGAAGGACGCUGUAACUGUGCACAUCGAAAAAAUAAUUUCUGAAAUCGUAUUCUGGAGAAUGUAGCGUACAAUGCGA